GGUUGCUGGAGGGGAGGGGGGAGGGGGAUGGGGUCACUGAGUGAUGGACAUUAAGGAGGGCACUUGAUGUAAUGAGUAUUGGGGGUUAUAUGCAACCGAUAAAUCACUAAACUCUACCCCUGGAACUAAUAAUACAGUAUAUGUUAGUUAAUUGAAUUUAAAUAAAAAAUUUUUUAAAAUCUUAAAAAAGAAAACACAUUUGUGCAAAAUACUGGAGGAAUAAACCUGACACUACAGAGACUGGUCACCUACAGAAGACGGGUAAAAAAGAGUUGGACCAAAGGGAGGAAUUGGAGCAGAUUCGUGAGGAUCAGGGGGUGCCUCAUUUCUCUGGGCAUCCCUGUUUGCACAGCUCUGACUCUUAGAACCAUAGAAAUGCUUCCAGCACCCCCAAUAAAAAGUGAAAAUCAAUCAAUUAAUUGAACAAAUAGCAAUUGAACUUAACUGUUAGAGAUGAGUAUAUAACCACAGUGGAAGGAAAGAGGAAGGAAAGAACUAAGUCAACUGGGAGUCAGCAUUUCCACAGGUCAUGGAAAGGGAGGACACAACCUCACAAGCACACUGCUCUAAUCAGUGAAUCUGUUUCUCACAGACGUAGCAGUUAGCAAUUCUGCGUCUACCAGGACUGAACCGUCAAGGUCUGAUGGAAACCGAGAGCCAGCUUUCUCACAGUACGUGCUGGACACGCCCUCAGGUGACCCCUGGACCUACUCUUCCUCCCGCCGUGAUCCACUUUAGUUACCGACGGCACCAAUUACUCCCAGCUCCGGUGGAAAGCGCAUGAAUCAGGCCUGGCUAGCAGAAAUGCGCCACAGCGGUGGGUGAGCCCGGGGAUAGGACUGUGACCCCAUCAAGGCGAAUGAGAUGCAUCUGAGGCUCUUUCUGGGCCUGCAGAGAGCGAGCCUGAGACCCAUUUCCACCUGACUUCAGUCAAGCAGCACCUGAACCUGGAACUACAGCAGUGACUUCAGCCCACAAAGGGGGGAGAGGGGGGCUAGCAGAGGCAGGGCCGGGCGUGCAGGAGGUAAAGAAGGGAAGGAGAGACAGCCCUGCCUAGUGAUGAUGCCUUGAUCAAGCUCAACCCUUGGACUAUUGUGUUAGGUGCCUCUGGAUCUGCCCCAGGACUUACCACUAGGACUCCUGUAGCUCCUAACGGACCACCAGCCCCGCUGUGAGCUCUUAAGGACCGAUCAUUAUGCAUUCUGCGGGG
This is a long non-coding RNA of Mirounga angustirostris (Northern elephant seal), 1210 nucleotides long. RefSeq lists it as uncharacterized. The record is from RefSeq and is a predicted model, not a curated record. Lineage: Eukaryota; Metazoa; Chordata; Mammalia; Carnivora; Phocidae. The transcript is spliced from 3 exons.